Molecule: ribosomal RNA, 635 nt
Filed under: Mycobacterium sp. Se2Pt_387
Lineage: Bacteria; Bacillati; Actinomycetota; Actinomycetes; Mycobacteriales; Mycobacteriaceae
Also listed under: 2 other names
Description: bacterial SSU rRNA
Rfam family: Bacterial small subunit ribosomal RNA
Source: RNAcentral
GCAGCCUGAUGCAGCGACGCCGCGUGAGGGAUGACGGCCUUCGGGUUGUAAACCUCUUUCAGCAGGGACGAAGCGCAAGUGACGGUACCUGUAGAAGAAGCACCGGCCAACUACGUGCCAGCAGCCGCGGUAAUACGUAGGGUGCGAGCGUUGUCCGGAAUUACUGGGCGUAAAGAGCUCGUAGGUGGUUUGUCGCGUUGUUCGUGAAAACUCACAGCUCAACUGUGGGCGUGCGGGCGAUACGGGCAGACUUGAGUACUGCAGGGGAGACUGGAAUUCCUGGUGUAGCGGUGGAAUGCGCAGAUAUCAGGAGGAACACCGGUGGCGAAGGCGGGUCUCUGGGCAGUAACUGACGCUGAGGAGCGAAAGCGUGGGGAGCGAACAGGAUUAGAUACCCUGGUAGUCCACGCCGUAAACGGUGGGUACUAGGUGUGGGUUUCCUUCCUUGGGAUCCGUGCCGUAGCUAACGCAUUAAGUACCCCGCCUGGGGAGUACGGCCGCAAGGCUAAAACUCAAAGAAAUUGACGGGGGCCCGCACAAGCGGCGGAGCAUGUGGAUUAAUUCGAUGCAACGCGAAGAACCUUACCUGGGUUUGACAUGCACAGGACGCCGGCAGAGAUGUCGGUUCCCUUGUG